GGGGGCGAUCGGUUUCGACUGGGAGAUCACCGUCCCGAGGUGGCGUGCCGAGGUUGCUGGGAUGGCCUCGUUAAUCCCCCAGCAAGGCAACAACUGCCGACAACAACUACGCUCUCGCUGCCUAAUUAAAGGCGGCUCGUCUCUCGGCCUUCGCCCGCUGGGCUGAGCAGACGCACGAUCGCGGGCUGGCGUGAGGCCGUGCCUGGAGGCCGAUCGCGAGAACAAUUCAGGCUGGUGCUCCCUUCAGCGUGUUCGACGGCGGGGGGGAGGACGAGAACAAAGGUCGGACUACGCACGUAGAUGCCCGGGUUGGGACUCGUCAGGACGCGGGUUCGAUUCCCGCCGCCUCCACCA
This 354-nucleotide transfer-messenger RNA is filed under the name Planctomycetota. RNAcentral describes it as "J029 sp014382465 Standard tmRNA". It matches the Rfam family "transfer-messenger RNA". From Rfam's summary of the family: Bacterial tmRNA, also known as 10Sa RNA or SsrA, is named for its dual tRNA and mRNA-like properties. Its role is to liberate the mRNA from a stalled ribosome. To accomplish this part of the tmRNA is used as a reading frame that ends in a translation stop signal. Lineage: Bacteria; Pseudomonadati. RNAcentral also lists the same sequence under 2 other names. The record is from RNAcentral.